Nylanderia fulva is the source of this 1851-nucleotide long non-coding RNA. RefSeq lists it as uncharacterized. NCBI's taxonomy places the organism in Eukaryota, Metazoa, Arthropoda, Insecta, Hymenoptera, Formicidae. The record is from RefSeq and is a predicted model, not a curated record.
CCAAAACUGCGGCGUCUCUGUGACGUACAUCCGGGAGAGACGAAGAAGAAGCUUCGAGGCAGGUAACGCGCGCGUAUAUAUCUUCGUGAAAUCAAUUAUUUAUCCCGCUUUAGGACUCUCACGCGACACAUAAUUGUAGGUUAGAUUUGCGGGAUAGUGUAUCUAGGAGCAGCGACGCGAAGUUAGUCGCGCGACUAUAUCGACUUCUCGCUGCGUUCGAUAUGAUUUAUCGAAUGUCUCGGAUCGGAGCAUUCGGUCGGAGCGUGCAGUUUCGCGCGGUCGUAAUAUUUAUAUUUCCAUCGUAAUAAAGUGCGUAUUGUGUGCGGGAAUGUCGCGAAGUGUCGCGCGAUCAUUAUAUUGUGAUAAUUAAUGCGAGUGUUAAGUAGUAAGUACUUUUUUUCGCGAAUAAUCGUGUGUGUGUUAUCUGGAGAAGCAGCAGUGGAGAAGCCGCAAGGAACAACGAAAGACAGAAUGUUUAGGAUGGAAUAUACAAGCAAUGCUACAAGUUCUACGCUUAUAUUUGUGAAGGAUAAACGAAUGUACAUUGAAAAGACUUCAACAGAAUCUCUGCAAGAGUUGUUAAUGACAAUGUAAGACAUUAAUGGUGAGUACUUAGUGCAAUCAUUUAUUCGUUUAAUACCGACUAAAGCGUAAAUUGUUUUGAUAAUGAAUUUGUUUAAUGGACUUAAAUUAGAGAUACCCUGUCUAAUUUGCUAAAAGUACUAACAGUUGUAAGUUUAUUACAAUGCUUUAAUUUAAUUAUAAAAAUAGACUCGGCAUCCUUUUGAUUUAAAUAUACCGAUCAUAUUUUAGUAUUCAUUAAUAAUUGCAAAAUUAAUCCCGUUAUUGUAUAAAAAUUAUUUAUAUUAUUUCUAAUCUUAGUAAGAUUAUUAGACCAAUAUCAUAAAUUCAUACCUUUCUUUUUGUUGCAUUUGCUUGAGCAUAAUAUCCGCUAGUGGAUCAGCAGGGGGUCUUUCUCCCAGAAGUCUCUGGCGAUCCAAAUCACCUUGCAUUUGUGCAAAGGCAUGCUCUCCAAUAUUCACAGAGGUUUCCAAUUGUGCCGAAAGUUCCACCGUUUCGUCGCCUAAAAAACGCAAUACAUUUUUUAAAGAAGCAUUACUUAAACCAUACGCAGCUGCAACAUUUUAUAACAUGCUCUUUUACCAUGCAAAGCGUGCUGAGGAUUGUCAAUAAUUCUGAUUUGUCUAUCUGGGAGUAGAGGUUCCCCGUCCUGUCCACCAAUAUCAUUCGGCAAUUGCCAACAAGCGUUAUCCUGCUCCGCCAGAUUUCGAGGAAAAUAAAGUGGCAGAAGUAUUUCGUAAAUUCCAAGGUCGCAAGGUUCCAGUACAAAUAUAAUACACGUUAACGAAUCGCUAUAUUGCUCCAUGAAUCUGCGUACGGUUCCUAUAAAAAGAAAUCAUUUAUUUAUCACAUAUUAAUCGGAUAUUAUUGCUUAUAUAAAUUUACAUAAACAUUUGCAUUUGUACUUACUAAGAGCUAUAUGCGCUCCUGCGUCUGGUGGAUAAUUUCUUCGUACUGAAUUUAUUACUGGUAGAGCAAUGGUACGAAGUCCCAUUUCUUUUGCUUUUUGUAAGACAUUUCUAUGACGAGAAAAUAGAAUUAAAAUAUUAAUUAUUAACAUUUCUUUUAUGAGAACUUGUUUCUUGUAUAUUAGUGUGUAAAAAUAAGGCAAUGAUUAUGCUUAUACAUAUAUGAACGAAUGCUGUAAAUAUUUAAGUAAUGUUUAAAUACCUAUAGCAACAAUGUAAUGUAUUUUGCGCAGCUGUUUGAUACUUGACAUUAUAAACUGGUCCAACAGUAUGAAUAAUAAAACGAGCAGGUAAUCCAUGA